RNAcentral lists this long non-coding RNA (557 nucleotides) under Nilaparvata lugens (brown planthopper). RNAcentral's name for it is "uncharacterized LOC120355245, transcript variant X1". The record is from RNAcentral. Lineage: Eukaryota; Metazoa; Arthropoda; Insecta; Hemiptera; Delphacidae.
GGAUCAAAUACAACUAUCCAAUCAAGGAGAAAUUUGACAGAACCAGAGUUUCAGCCGAGCGAUUUAUACAAGUGGAUUACUUCUAAUAACAAAGAGGCUAACCAUUCUGCAACCACCGCCCUAGAGCCAGUGGGCAGCCGAGCGACGACCCUGUCACAGUAGUCAAGUGCCCCCUGUAGCUGUCGUCGUCCCCAGGGGCCCGCGAGAUGGAUGGAGGCGGUGGGAAUGCGAAAUGAAUAACAGACGCCCGGUGAUGGUGAGAAUACAGAUGCUGGACUGAUGAACGUGCCAACUCCACUGAUACCUCACCAUAUUAUUUGUUUUACAUAGAGCAAUCCAAUAUUUUUUAUACACUUAUGAAGUGUUUUAUCAAUAAACAUAAUAAAUAAUAAGUGUAUUUGAACAAACGAAAUUAACACUUGAAAAGUAAUGUUGUCUGUUUAUGUAAAGAGUUUGUCACAUUUUAUACUCUGAAAUUGUUUUAUAUAAUUUCAUUAUAAUUCUCAUAAUGUGCAAUAGAUUGCAUAAAAUUGUUAUUAAAAACUCUAUUUACUAAA